RNAcentral lists this long non-coding RNA (299 nucleotides) under Mytilus galloprovincialis (Mediterranean mussel). The record is from RNAcentral. Lineage: Eukaryota; Metazoa; Mollusca; Bivalvia; Mytilida; Mytilidae.
GUGACUAAUCUGCAACAGUACACCUAUUGUGUCGACGCAUUCGUUCUCGCUCAUUUGCAGUUCAUGAACAUCCUAAAUGUGUGUGUUACCUUGUUUGUCUCUUCUUAAACAAUUAAAGUGAUUUGAAAAUCGGCAAACUACCGUUGCCUUAAUUAACGACAUGAAAUUAAAACAUUGUGUUUGUAAUACACGAGUUUAGUCAUACUUAUUCGUAAAUUUCUGGAAAAUAUUGCACAUUACUCUGUUUGCUUCUUGUUCACACAUCGUUGUCAAUAUAAUGGAAUUGAAUGCAACUGUCA